This 217-nucleotide ribosomal RNA is filed under the name Clostridioides difficile. Its description in RNAcentral is "partial 16S ribosomal RNA". It matches the Rfam family "Bacterial small subunit ribosomal RNA", at positions 119 to 336 of the family's 1533-position model. The record is from RNAcentral. Lineage: Bacteria; Bacillati; Bacillota; Clostridia; Peptostreptococcales; Peptostreptococcaceae.
GGGUAACCUACCCUGUACACACGGAUAACAUACUGAAAGGUAUGCUAAUACGGGAUAAUAUAUUUGAGAGGCAUCUCUUAAAUAUCAAAGGGGAGCCAGUACAGGAUGGACCCGCGUCUGAUUAGCUAGUUGGUAAGGUAACGGCUUACCAAGGCGACGAUCAGUAGCCGACCUGAGAGGGUGAUCGGCCACAUUGGAACUGAGACACGGUCCAAAC